Molecule: ribosomal RNA, 301 nt
Filed under: uncultured bacterium
Lineage: Bacteria
Description: partial 16S ribosomal RNA
Rfam family: Bacterial small subunit ribosomal RNA
Source: RNAcentral
CAGCAGCCGCGGGAAAACGGAGGGUGCAAGCGUUAAUCGGAAUUACUGGGCGUAAAGCGCACGCAGGCGGUUUGUUAAGUCAGAUGUGAAAUCCCCGAGCUUAACUUGGGAACUGCAUUUGAAACUAGCAAGCUAGAGUCUUGUAGAGGGGGGUAGAAUUCCAGGUGUAGCGGUGAAAUGCGUAGAGAUCUGGAGGAAUACCGGUGGCGAAGGCGGCCCCCUGACAAAGACUGACGCUCAGGUGCGAAAGCGUGGGGAGCAAACAGGAUUAGAUACCCGCGUAGUCCCUGUCUCUUAUACA